GAAAGUCACUACGCUGCGUAAGAGAAGCCAAAUAAAGCGCAUGCUGUGUACAGAGGGUGUCGAGAAUGCCUCCUACGUGACGGAAAGCAGAUCCGUGGUUCCCUGCAGACUGGCAGGAGCAGAUUCCAAAGGCACAGGAAGAAGCUUGCAGGCAGCUGCUCCCAACCCCAGAACCUUUGCUGUCUUGGGACGGAUCACCACUGCAAGAGGGGAAGUUGCUACUGUGAUGAAUUCUGCCAUGUGGCACCAGACUGCCACCCAGACCACAGUGUCCUCUGCAACCCUGCUUCUCAGAUGACCAAGAUGGUGCUGCAGAUGGUGCUGAGGAUGGAGAACCCACCAAGCCCCGCUAGGAGCCACCUAGACUGGAUGCAGAGCAUGGUUCAGCGAGUUCUCCAAACCAGCCUCCCAGGAAUGCCAUUCACCAUGGCUGUGAGGAGAAUAAAGAAGAGAGCCUGACUCCUCUCCUGAGGCCCCUUCCCCACC
RNAcentral lists this unclassified non-coding RNA (486 nucleotides) under Homo sapiens (human). RNAcentral describes it as "MUC20 overlapping transcript (ENSG00000280993.2)". Lineage: Eukaryota; Metazoa; Chordata; Mammalia; Primates; Hominidae. The record is from RNAcentral.